RNAcentral lists this small nucleolar RNA (215 nucleotides) under Neocallimastix californiae. RNAcentral describes it as "Small nucleolar RNA U3". It matches the Rfam family "Small nucleolar RNA U3". From Rfam's summary of the family: Small nucleolar RNAs (snoRNAs) are involved in the processing and modification of rRNA in the nucleolus. There are two main classes of snoRNAs: the box C/D class, and the box H/ACA class. U3 snoRNA is a member of the box C/D class. The record is from Rfam by way of RNAcentral. Lineage: Eukaryota; Fungi; Neocallimastigomycota; Neocallimastigomycetes; Neocallimastigales; Neocallimastigaceae.
UCGACCGUACUUUACAGGAUCAUGUAUAUAGUACGUUUCCCGUCUUUGUUUUCCAAACAAGACACAUUUACUAAGUUGGAAGAUGAUAAGUAGCACCGGUUCAUAGCGGGAAGUGGUGAUUAAUGUUGUUUUUUUAAUGAUAUUUUUCACUUUGAAGAUCGUGCCUAUCAAAUUUUCCAUUGAUACGGCAAGGACUUGGUUGCUUUCUGACAACU